UACGAAGGGGGCUAGCGUUGUUCGGAAUCACUGGGCGUAAAGGGCGCGUAGGCGGCCGAUCAAGUCGGGGGUGAAAGCCUGUGGCUCAACCACAGAAUUGCCUUCGAUACUGGUUGGCUUGAGACCGGAAGAGGUAAGUGGAACUGCGAGUGUAGAGGUGAAAUUCGUAGAUAUUCGCAAGAACACCAGUGGCGAAGGCGGCUUACUGGUCCGGUACUGACGCUGAGGUGCGAAAGCGUGGGGAGCAAACCGG
This 253-nucleotide ribosomal RNA is filed under the name uncultured bacterium. Its description in RNAcentral is "partial 16S ribosomal RNA". It matches the Rfam family "Bacterial small subunit ribosomal RNA", at positions 524 to 776 of the family's 1533-position model. The record is from RNAcentral.